Hippopotamus amphibius kiboko is the source of this 502-nucleotide non-coding RNA. NCBI's taxonomy places the organism in Eukaryota, Metazoa, Chordata, Mammalia, Artiodactyla, Hippopotamidae. The record is from the annotation of a RefSeq genome assembly.
AUGGCUGUCAGGCUCCUCUGCUACGUGGCCCUUUACCUUAUGGGAGCAGGCCUUGUGGACACUGAUGUUUACCAGACCCCAAGAUACCGUGUUACAGGGACAGGAAAGAAGGUUACUCUGGAAUGCUCUCAAACCAUGGGCCAUGACAACAUGUACUGGUAUCAGCAAGACUCAGGAAUGGAACUACAGCUGAUGCAUUAUUCAUAUGGGGUUAACACCACAGAGAAAGGAGAGCGCUCUUCUAGGUCAAGUGUCUCCAGAAUAAGGAAAGAGCGUUUUCCCCUCACGCUAGAGAUUGCCAGCCCCUCACAGACAUCUAGGUACUUCUGUGCCAGCAGUGAAUACACAGCAGUACACAGGCACCCACAGACUGCACAAAAAAGGUUAAUGGAAUUUUAACAAAAUCUGCAUGAGACAUAAGGAACAGAAAUUAUGGUUACAAAGAAAACCCUCAAAUAUCUCCUCUUUAUUUGGCCCUGGAUUUCUUUGGAGACCAUCCUGA